GAAAAAUUCAUGAGCAAUCAAGACAUCCGAAACAUCCAUCAUACAAAAAGUCAGAAGCAUUAGAGGUCAUUUGGCAUGGAAAUCAAAUGGCAUAAGUUAGACAACCAAAUGUGUGACACAAAUUGUCACACCAUGCAAACAUGUCCAUAAAACAGCAAUGGUAAAUGGAAAAAAUUCCAAACCAAGCCUAAAACAUCCACUAACAUGUCUAGAAUCAGCAUGUAAAAUUU
This 230-nucleotide long non-coding RNA is filed under the name Lathyrus oleraceus (garden pea). Its description in RNAcentral is "Pisum sativum (pea) long non-coding RNA (PSAT_LNC005698)". Lineage: Eukaryota; Viridiplantae; Streptophyta; Magnoliopsida; Fabales; Fabaceae. The record is from RNAcentral.